Molecule: long non-coding RNA, 1319 nt
Filed under: Zonotrichia albicollis (white-throated sparrow)
Lineage: Eukaryota; Metazoa; Chordata; Aves; Passeriformes; Passerellidae
Description: lncRNA (ENSZALG00000007922.1)
Source: RNAcentral
GUCAUAUUAACUGAGGCAACUAAUGGAAAACAAAUGCAUGGCUUCAAUGAGCCAGAUAUGGAAAAUAUGCCAAAGAAGAAAUUUUGGCAAGACAAAGAAGACUUCAGAGCAGAGCAAAUACAAGAACGCUUCCUUUCCCUCCUCCUGUUAUGGGAUGCAACAGCAAGGAUCACCAUACACACGGAGUGCAUAUCACAACAUUCACAUCUUGAUUUAAAAGGAGAAAGGAAUGUGAAAUAGGAACUGCAUAUUUAGCUCCCCAAAAUUUAUUUCCUUAGCAAUGUGCAUAUGUUUUAUUUUCUCCAAUCUUAAUAUCCAGCAUGAUAAGUAGAUGGUUGUAUGGGGUUUGCAUGCCAGGUUUUGGUAGUGUGUUCUGGUGGGGAUGGAUGAUCAGGCAGCAAACAGCCCAAAGAGCUGGGCACAUUUCCAAAUAGCUGACACUGCCCUGCUGAAGCUGCUGUCACUGCCACUAGUUCCAAAGAAAGGGUGGCAAGAGGUGGGACAUGUAUGGAGCAGCACAGGCUGGAUCUACCUCAGUAUGUGUGCGAAAACCUUCAAACUGAGACAUGGUCCCCAGGGCUGGUAGACUCACACCACCUUGAGCCCUGUAGGAAACAUUUUGGAUUUUAGUAGCAGAAAUACUUCAAAACUAAUAUUUGGACCAACGGCCUGAAUGCAAAACUAUCCUAGCAAUCCCCAGAGAUUUGUAAGAAACAAGCUUUGCAAGCAACUGCAGUCAUCCAGCCCCUGAACAGGAACUAAGCAUAGCACCAUGGGGCAGGAUCCAUUUCUGUGCUAUGCUUAGUUACUGCUCAGGCUGUGUACUUGUUAGGGACAAUGAUCACUGCAGGGAGGCAAUGAGCAAAGCAGCUGUAGAAUUUCUGCUUCCCAAACUGCAUUGACCUUGCCAAACAAAAUUUAGAAAUCAAAUGGAGCGAAUCAGUGACACUUCUCAGUCCCAUUUCAAAUGCAAAAAAAAAAAAAAAAAAAAAAAAAAAAAAAAAAGACACUUUUUAAAAAAAACCCAAAACAAAAUGGAACAAAAAAAAUCCUCAGCAAUUCCACCUCUUUUUAAGUUAAGUUGUUUCUCUCUGCUCUGGUUUCCUAAACAGGAUUUCACUGUGAGCAAAAAAAAUCUGCACAACACCAAUAAUUCACUGAUUUCUGGAAUGACGCAUUAGUAGCUGUAUACAUGCAUAAGCCACAAUCUGGAUUUUUAACUGUUAUAUCAUUUACCAUGGAAAGAACUGUAAUUAAGAUCCAGAAAAAUUCAAAUUACCACUCAAAUAAAAGAUGCUUAAUCCAACUCGUAAAUAUCA